Helianthus annuus (common sunflower) is the source of this 1970-nucleotide long non-coding RNA. RefSeq lists it as uncharacterized. The transcript is spliced from 8 exons. The record is from RefSeq and is a predicted model, not a curated record. NCBI's taxonomy places the organism in Eukaryota, Viridiplantae, Streptophyta, Magnoliopsida, Asterales, Asteraceae.
ACAAUAGCGUCUAGAUAUCAAUCGACAUGCCUUCUUUAUCCAAAAUAUUGUUCUAUGUGCAGCUCUAAAAAGGCUGAAUAGCUUUCUUCAUCUUAGUGCCAGUUAGAUCAUAUAUCCAAAUCGAAUUGGAGCGUCUUCUUCUACCAAUUUCUUAAAGGCUGAAUAGCUUUCUUCACUCUAAUGAUGGAAUGGAAUGGAAUGUUGAAAUAGUCACAAAUUUCAUUGAUUAAAGAAAUUCAUGGGAUUUCAAAUUCCUCCCUCCCCAAACCAAGAUCAAUUUUACAAAGAAAAACUUCCUAAUUCCAUUCCAUUCCAUUCCAUGAAACGAACGCUACCUUAGGGUUUGACGUCUCAAGAGGUUAAGUUGGAUGCCUUCAACAUGUCCAAUUGGAAUCAUGGAGGAGCCUCAUCAGCCUCCCAAAUACUUGACGAACGGAACUUCUCAUUAAGCAUUCAGGUUUCAACUCCAUUCUUUUCGUGAUAUUAAGCCAGCCAUCAGUUCUAAAAUUGAUCACGAUUUAGAGUUUCUAAAGGAGGUCAGGAAUUCAAUCUGAGUUAUGUCACGAGAAUCAUGGUGUUUGAUAAUUUCCCUCAAUGAGAGUUUUGUUGAGGAAUUCACUGACGUUCCAUAAAUCACACACAGUGUUUGCUAGCUUCGGUUCCUUGACCAUCUAAAAAAGCUUCAAAGAAGAACGUGGAAUAUUUGGGUUGUUUUCGGGAUCCACUAGAUAUAAUUACUUAAUGGUUAUAACAAAAUAGUGAAACAUCACGUUAUCCUAAUCAUCAGGUUGUAUGCUUUCAUGCAUUGGAGAAACAAAAAGAGGUCAUGUUCUCUCUAGAACUGUAAGUUUUUUUCGGUCUCCAAGCCGGUGCUUAAUGUUUCAGCUCAAAUUUCAUGGUUUCCGAAUUACUCAAUCCGGUUCCGAUGACGAAUCGUCAAAAAACCAAGCCGAGGGGUGACCAGGUCGUGUACACUUGCCGAGUUGAUGUCGAAUCUGCAAAGUGGUAAGUCUCUUUUAGACCUAUUUAUUCAUUUUGUAUGGUUCUUGGAAUUCGGUCAUGGGUUCAUGCUUUUUAGUUAUGAAUCCUCAUUUCAUGUUUAUGAUAAUAUUGAAACUGUAGGGUGAAAUUGGUCAUGGACCAGUUUACUUAUGGAAACACAAUUCCUCAAAGUUAUAUUGUAUAUGGAUGGGGUCAAAGAAGUUCAUUUGUAUUUUUUAAUGUGUUUUGCUCACAAUGUUUUUUUUCCAGUGUUGCUUCAUGCUGAGUUAUUAGGCAUUCGUUUUGCGAGUGUUGAAUUUUGCUAUAGAUUAGCAGUUACAUGUUUCAUACAGAAAAUGGUUCACAGAAAAGUGGUUCACGUUUGCUAAGUAAUUAACUGACAACAGGUUUUAUACCAUUGUUAGGAAGGUAGGUACUCUUCACAUGAAUGAGUUAUAAAAUAACUUAUUUUUUAAUGGUUUGGUUUAGGCCAUAAAAGGUGGGUACUUUUCAAAUGAUCGUCUAUUUUCUGUUUCGGGAGUGAAAGCAUUAGUUGAAGCUUGGAACAUGAAGGGAGUCUUUGCUGAGGAAACAAAUUAAGAAAGAAGCUGUGUUAUAUCCCACCCUUAUGCUUUCUCUUAUCGCAAUUGGAGAUGGCACUUUCUUUUUGGGUCUUAUUGGUUCCAGUUCUUAAUGAGCGCAAAUACAUGUUGGUUCAAGAAAUUUAAACUUGCUCAGCAGCAGAAGUCACACUGUUACUCCAUCAAGCAAUUAUACAUUAAAAUUUGCCUACCAUUGCAAAACACAUUGAAAUUUAGGCUGCUCAAAGCAAGGCAUUCUCAUUAAUUUUGUCUGCACUAAAUACAUAAUACAGCACCUGAUUACGUUAUUAUUUUUCAAGCAUACAGAUUAUUACUGUUGAUGAUUCAGGUUGUUAUUUUCAGGAAAUUGUUACUUUUGAAUUUUGAUUAUGUUUUUAUAAUUUUGGU